This 498-nucleotide ribosomal RNA is filed under the name uncultured bacterium. RNAcentral describes it as "partial 16S ribosomal RNA". It matches the Rfam family "Bacterial small subunit ribosomal RNA", at positions 28 to 507 of the family's 1533-position model. The record is from RNAcentral.
GACGAACGCUGGCGGCGUGCCUAAUACAUGCAAGUCGAGCGGACGGAUGGGAGCUUGCUCCCAGACCGUCAGCGGCGGACGGGUGAGUAACACGUGGGCAACCUGCCUGUAAGACUGGGAUAACUCCGGGAAACCGGGGCUAAUACCGGAUAACUCUUUCCCUCACAUGAGGGAAAGCUGAAAGAUGGCAUCUCGCUAUCACUUACAGAUGGGCCCGCGGCGCAUUAGCUAGUUGGUGAGGUAACGGCUCACCAAGGCGACGAUGCGUAGCCGACCUGAGAGAGUGAUCGGCUACACUGGGACUGAGACACGGCCCAGACUCCUACGGGAGGCAGCAGUAGGGAAUGUUCCGCAAUGGACGAAAGUCUGACGGAGCAAGGCCGCGUGAGUGAUGAAGGUGUUCGGAUCGUAAGACUCUGUUGUCAGGGAAGAACAAGUACCGGAGUAACUGCCGAUACCUUGACGGUACCUGACCAGAAAGCCACGGCUAACUACGUG